GGGUUGUCAUGCCAAUGGCACUGCCCGGUAGCUAAAUGCGGAAGAGAUAAGUGCUGAAAGCAUCUAAGCACGAAACUUGCCCCGAGAUGAGUUCUCCCUGAGACUUUAAGUCUCCUGAAGGAACGUUGAAGACGAUGACGUUGAUAGGCCGGGUGUGUAAGCGCAGCGAUGCGUUGAGCUAACCGGUACUAAUGAACCGUGAGGCUUAACCUUACAACGCCGAAG
RNAcentral lists this ribosomal RNA (225 nucleotides) under Klebsiella pneumoniae. RNAcentral's name for it is "partial 23S ribosomal RNA". It matches the Rfam family "Bacterial large subunit ribosomal RNA", at positions 2718 to 2925 of the family's 2925-position model. The record is from RNAcentral. Lineage: Bacteria; Pseudomonadati; Pseudomonadota; Gammaproteobacteria; Enterobacterales; Enterobacteriaceae.